CCUACGGGUGGCAGCAGUCGAGAAUCAUUCACAAUGGGCGAAACCCUGAUGGUGCGACGCCGCGUGGGGGAAUAAAGGUCUUCGGAUUGUAAACCCCUUUCAUGUGGGAGCAAAUUAAAAAGAUAGUACCACAAGAGGAAGAGACGACUAACUCUGUGCCAGCAGCCGCGGUAAUACAGAGGUCUCAAGCGUUGUUCGGAGUCACUGGGCGUAAAGCGUGCGUAGGCUGUUUCGUAAGUCGUGUGUGAAAGGUGUCGGCUCAACCCGCGGACGGCACAUGAUACUGGGAGACUAGAGUAAAGGAGAGGUAAGUGGAAUUCGCGGUGUAGCAGUGAAAUGCGUAGAUAUCGAGAGGAACACUAGUGGCGAAGGCGGGUCCCUGGACAUUAACUGACGCUGAGGUACGAAAGCGAGGGGAGCGAACGGGAUUAGAUACCCGGGUAGUC
RNAcentral lists this ribosomal RNA (446 nucleotides) under uncultured bacterium. RNAcentral describes it as "partial 16S ribosomal RNA". It matches the Rfam family "Bacterial small subunit ribosomal RNA", at positions 338 to 795 of the family's 1533-position model. The record is from RNAcentral.